This 531-nucleotide ribosomal RNA is filed under the name Bruchidius seminarius. RNAcentral describes it as "partial 16S ribosomal RNA". It matches the Rfam family "Bacterial large subunit ribosomal RNA", at positions 1807 to 2608 of the family's 2925-position model. Lineage: Eukaryota; Metazoa; Arthropoda; Insecta; Coleoptera; Chrysomelidae. The record is from RNAcentral.
UCAAAAACAUGGCUUAUUGAAUAUAAUUUUAAGUCUAGCCUGCCCCCUGAAUUUUAAAUGGCCGCGGUAUUUUGACCGUGCUAAGGUAGCAUAAUCAUUAGUUUCUUAAUUAGAAGCUGGAAUGAAUGGUUGGAUGAAAAAAAUUCUGUCUCUGUUUAAUUUUAUUUAGAAUUUUAUUUUUUAGUAAAAAAGCUAAAAUUAUUUUGAAAGACGAGAAGACCCUAUAGAGUUUAAUAUAAUUAUUUUAUUAAUAUUUAUUAGAAUAUAAAUUUUUAAUUUUAUAAUAUAUUUAAUUGGGGUGAUUGAAAAAUUAAAUAAACUUUUUUUUAUUUUUAUACAUUUAUUUAUGAAUUAUUGAUCCAUUAUUUAUGAUUAUAAGAUUAAAUUACCUUAGGGAUAACAGCGUAAUGUUUUCAGAGAGUUCUUAUCGAAGAAAAAGAUUGCGACCUCGAUGUUGGAUUAAAAUGAAUAAUUGGUGUAGAAGCUAAUAUUAUUAGGUCUGUUCGACCUUUAAAAUUUUACAUGAUCUGA